RNAcentral lists this long non-coding RNA (4119 nucleotides) under Canis lupus familiaris (dog). Its description in RNAcentral is "lncRNA (ENSCAFG00000057329.1)". Lineage: Eukaryota; Metazoa; Chordata; Mammalia; Carnivora; Canidae. The record is from RNAcentral.
UUUUUUUUGUUUUUUUUUUGUUUUUUUGUUUUUUGUUUUUUUGUCUAAAGGCAAUCUAACAGAUUGGAACCCUGAUAAGAUCGUGCCUGUACAGCCGUGCACGGGCACGAGGAGACUGUGAUCAAGUCUAUUACUCGUUACAGUACUGUGAACAUCAACAAGAACUGCUUGCAUGGAAACACUGAAUAUGGGCACGACAAUCUCUGGCUUAUGAUACUGUAUGUUGCAAAUAAUGCCUAGACCAGAGCGAUGCGGGUGCCAGGAUUCACCAGAGGCAAAAUCAACAUAGGAAUUCUAUGAGGACAAGGAGGAGGCUGCAGGCGGUUCCUGUGUCCAGCACCUCACUGCUCACUAGCUCUCUAGCGGAAUAAACUCAAGGACGCAGAGAAAUCUCUGUGUUUGGCUGAGGGGUAGUGGAUGAGGAAGAGAAUCCUUUUUUGCCUGCCAAGCAACAGUCCUCUUCCCCACAGAACAAGACAGUUUCCUUAUAAGAAGUUCACUUAAAAGGAUUAAGGGAGAAAAAGGAGAAAUUAAAAGGAGCAAGGAGGAGGAGGUGUUCUGGAAAUGGACAGAAAGAUUACCUUUAUGGUCAGCACGAAUGAGGCAUGGUUUCCUGAGCUUGAAAGGGUUCUGAAUUCAGGAAAGGACGAGUACUUUUUCCCAGAGAACAUUAGGGCCUUUGGGGGCCCCCCUGUGGCCCUGGGCUAACACUGCAUGGCUAGGGUGGAGAAUCCUGUACCACACCAGUUGGCAGGAACCUCAGGUCCCCCCAGGACUGCGGGAGGACUCUGGGUCCCUUUCAAACUCACUGUGCCGACUUCACUGCUUCUCACUGUCACUCCCCUUCCCCGCCAGGACAUGGGGAUACCAUGGACACAGAAACUGUAGAACAAGGAUGCAAAGCUACUUCCUUCCCCCUUUCUGCUCCCCCCCUUUUUUGCAGAAUGCAUAGUUACAAUUCACGUUACAGAAUAAAGAAGCAAUGAUGACCACAUAUGGGACCUUUAUGCUUUUGAAAAAAGAAAAAAAAUCCACAACCUCUUCUUAAAUUCAGUAUCAAAAUUCACAUUUGCAUAAUAAUACAUUUCAAGGCCAUUAGAGAGGAAUGAGAGAAGCACAGAAAGCCGCAUCUCUCCUCCCUUUGUCUCCUGAAUGAAGCUGAAGGAAUCUUGCGGGAGGGAUUGUUUUCCUCUUUGGGGAGUUCUGAGGAAUUAUGGAAAUGGCCCUUAGCAUUCACUUGCGGUUUCUUUAGAAGAUAGGGCAGGGGGAGAAGAGGUGGAAUUGUUUAAAACAAACACAAAAACAAAUGAAGAGACACUGCAGAUUUCUAUGCUUAACUAUAAUCAUUCUGAAGAAAUAAAAUAUGAUUUCAGAUUUUUCUUUCUUUCUCAAACACUUCCAUCUUAUUCUUUCCAAAGCUUUUUCCUUGUGUGUAAUACCCUGUUCACAUAAACAGCAACGUGAUGUGAGGGAAGUAACUGCCUUCUCAGGACACAGACUCAAGAGGGUGGAAAUGCAGUGUCCCCCCCCACGCCCCCGCACACGGCAGGAGCUCGAAAACGCCUUCUUGACAUGCAUGAAUGUGUCACAGACAUCACCAUAUUUCAGUUCCCCAGUGCUUACAGAAAAACAAAAACUAAAACAGCCACAGCCUCACACACACACACACACACACAGAUACACACACGAAGGAAAUUAGGUACUGCAGAUAGAUAAAUUCAACCUGCACCCUUGGAUGAACCUGGGUCUCUGUCAUUGUGCGCCAUCACCUCUUCCUCCCUCCCGAGCCCCAGAAUCUCUUCCACACAACUCUACACUGUGCAAUAUUGAUGCUAAUGAAAAUUCCACGGCUGUCCCUGGGGACUGCCAGGAGACUCGCUGACUUCCCUAAAGACUACACUGACCACCUUUCGGUUUUAACCCCACUGAUAGGAGAGCUUCUUCCUAAAACAGACGGUCUCUGUACUCACAAAGGCACAUUCAGAAAUACUACACUUAAGUAAUUAAUUCCUUGGACAAAAUUAAAAGGUGGGAGUGGGGUAGGGGUGGUGUUUUAAACACACUUAUUCCAACUUAUCCCGAAAUUUCUGGAAAGAAGUGUCAUGCUGAAUGCGUCACUUGGUGAGAAACUAUGUACCUUUAAAAGGUAUGUAACUUCUUGAAGGAUUCCAAAGGUUUUUGCUUUGUUUUAUAUAAAGACCCGCCCCCCCCCUUGUUCAUUUUUGGCGAACACAUUAUUUAGGAUAUACUCUCUUCCUUUCCAUAAAGCUCUGCCGUAAGGCUAGUCCUGCAGUAAGGCUGCUCCAGCUCACCUCCAGUGACCCCCUACAACCCAGCCCUCAGAGAACCAUGCACACCUGUCAGGAGCCCAGGGGAAGGCGUGCCAGAUUCCAGGGAGGUCUGGGAAAGCAGGGGAGAAGGGGAAGAAAAGCACUUCGUUUCACAAUCUCUGCUACAACGAUACUGUAAACUACCUUUGCAAUUUUUCUUUUGCUGUUCCUUGUCAGUGGUAAAGAGGAAUUACUCUUUUUUGUAAAGACGGUCUCAAUGUAUUGACCUUGGCUCGAGACGGCCCCGUGGCAAUUGGAAAGGGGGGGACUGAUAGUGUGAAAACCGAACUGAGGCACAAAGUGCUGUGGGGAGACACACUAAUUCUUUUCUAUUUAAAAACAGUACACUUCUUGCCUUUAUCUGACCUUCCCUCUACCAUGGACAAAACAAGCAAGCGUUUGUCACAACGAAGACCCCAUGACAGAGUCCGGCAGAGACCCCCCUCAGUCAGGGUGGUACCAUUCUUCCUGGUGUGCAUAGUUUCUCCUUAAAAACAGAUUAAGGUGUGUAGCUAACCAAAAAGAACUAUUUAAAUUCUGUGCGGCAAACACUGGCAGCUUCUGUCAUUUUCAUUUUUUUUUUUUAAAGUGGUGGUGGUAGGAGGUUACUACAAGAGACAGUUUAAAAACCACUCACAUGUUAGAAAUACUUGGUAAUUCCUUCUGAUUCUAGUCCGAGUGACCACACACCUAAGGAUAGCAGGAAUGCCCAGCCAGUGGGGAGUAGCUCUGUUUCCUGACCAGUGUAUCCCCUGCCAUCCUGUCAAUGUUCAUGGCCUUGUUUCUUUGGCGGUGCAGGCAGCAGGGAGGUAUUGUGGGCAGGGUAGGGAGGGUCAGUGUUCUAUUUUUAUUAAGUUAUUACUAUGUUCAUAGGUUCUUAAAGUUGAUAACUAUUCUAAAUCUAAAGAAUGUGAUGCCAGUACCUCCUUUGUCAAAUUCAAGGUCCAGGGAACAUCGUUAACAAGUAGGGACCAUCUCUGAAAAUACACACACUUUUGGCACUGGCCAUAAACCUACAGAGUUUAUUACAGGGUAUGCACUUACUCUGGAAAUACAGAGGACAUUCUAUGUGGGUUUGUUUUUUUUUAAUAGAUUGAUGAUGUUCUUGACAACAUUAUGUAUAUUGCCCAUUUCUAGAAUGUGUGGAUACCCUGUACUUGUAGAUAAGAAAGCUAAGAGGGUGUGGUGCAACGUGCAGCAGAGGGGGAGGGCAUCCUAUUUUCUGAAUGGGUUCUGAGGUCUACAGAUUGCUAAUUCACUGUAGACACACAAGCUGGAAUAUUUUAAUCUGUACCAUCACAUGCAGCCCGAGCUGUACACUCACAGGAAAGAAAACUCAAGAAUAAAAUUUCUUUUUGCAGUAACACUAAGAAACAUAGUUAAUGCAUAGGCAUGAAGUGUGACAAAACUUGGCAAAACACUGGAGAAGAAAUUUUUUUUUUUUUUAAACCAGCUAAAAAAAUGUAUCUCUACUCCUAGUAAAAGAGCUUAUAGAUAGCUAAAACAAAAGAAAAAAACCAAAAUCUUAACAAUAACCUACAAAGUGUUAUAUAUUCAAUUUGAACUCUGAGGAUGGGGUAUAAGAAGACCUUUUCUACAUAAAGACUCAAUUGUUCCCUAAUCUUAGAGAUGGCUAUUACAGCCAAGUCUGCUGAAAACAUCUUGUUUUACACUGCAGAGGAAAACAGGCUUGGCCUAAGCAUUUUGCUCAGCACAGAGACAUCUUCAUUUUGUUUAAGAGAAGAAAUGGCAUAAUACAAAAAAAAAAAAAAAAAAUUAAAAAGUACAC